GUUCCACUUUCCAGACUGCUGCCAGAGGAAAUUUUCAAAAUGCAACCAUGGUCACAUCACCUUCCACUCUCAGCUUCUUACCUCCCAAAGGCUUCAUUCUCUUACAGCUGGGUGUCUCAACCUCAGCGCUAUUGACGUUUGAGCCUCGUAAUUCUCUACUAGGGGGGCAACCUGUGACUAUAGGAUGUUUAGCAAGCUGGCCUCUACCCACUAGAUGCCAGUAGGACCCUGCCUGCUCCUGCCAAGUUGGGACAGCCAAAAAUGUUUGCAGACAUCACCAAAUGGCCCCUAGAAAGAUUGCCUCUCCUCCACGCUGCUCCCUUCCCAGGGACUUUGCACCUCCCAGCCCUCCCUGAGGAGCCUCUCCCGGCCUCCCUUGCCUCUUCACCAUCCUUCAGACCUCAGCUCGAUGGUGACUUUUCAAUGUCAGCCAUUCUGGGUCGAAGUGGGGAGGUGGACGGCAGGCACCGAUCGGACGACCCGAGGAAUAAACGUGCAGACACUGUCGUAAGUGUCGGGAAGUGAGGGUGAGAGGCUCUGGCUGCUGUUAAAGGGGGGCUUUGACCUAGUCAGGGAGGCAGAGGGGAGCUCAAAGCACGAGGAUGCUUUGACCAGGCGCAAAGGGAGGGAACGGUGUUCCAGGCAGAGGGCCCAGCAUGUGCAAAAGCACAGAGGGGAGGGGAUUUGUGUCAGAGGAGCCACACAAAGCCAGUGUGAUGGGUGUAGGGCGAGAGAGCUGGGGAUGGCGGGAGAUGAGAGGCAGGGGGAUGAGCUCGCAGAGGACUAGAAUGGGAAACGGUCUAGGGAAAUGGUCUGUGCUGUUCAAGGAUUUUGUCCUUGGAGCGCAUGAAGCCAGCGACGGGCUUUAGCAGGCUUAGCCGACGUGGUCAGGUUUACCUUCUCAAGACAUCACGGUGGCUGUCGUGUGACCCAGUCCAGAGUUUAUCUAAAGAUCCCUUCCUCUCCCCUCCCCUCAUCUCCGGCCCCCUGAGCCCCUCGGACUGGAACCAGGGAGCAGGAAGGUUGGGAUUUGCCAUGAGACAGAAGGGACUGUCCCUCCAUUUGAGCCAGCCGGCUGCACAAUGAUUCUCCUCUUGCCAAUUACCUUGCCGUUUCCAAGGGCACUUCACCGCUGGAGGAAUGAAUGGGGCUCGGUGCGGCCUUAUAUAAGAGUUGGACUUCCCUCGUGGCUGGAAAAUAGGGCUCCUGUCAGACAAGCAGCCCCUAAGAGCACGCCUUGGAUCUGAUAAACAGACGUUGGCAAAUGGGAGGUUUGAAGGUGGUGCCAAGCUCUGUGGUUUGGACUGUUCCUGCGAGUGAAACAAUGGAAGCAGCUAACCAUCUGCAGGAGGGAAAAAGUAGGGAAACUCAGCCUGAGACACAAAGAGGCAGUGUAGGGGACAGAGGGCAGGCGGUGGCCGCAUUCACAGGCCUGCCCUGCUACCGCAGCCUUGCAGAUUACUACCAGCCCAGCCAGCAGGACGCCAUGUUUGCAGGGCGAGUGGACUCUCCCCAGGAUUCACUCACAUUCCUUCCCGUGGUGCCUGUAUUUGGCAUUGCGCUUUUUUAUUAUUUCUCUUCCACUAAGGGGCUUAACUUGUUGGGUUUGGACAAGAACUGGGCAGACAGCUGUGGCCACUUGCCUGUUGGGAUCUAAUCCUGUCUCUUCUGUGUGUGACGGUGUCCCACGUGUCCCCAGGUGGGUGCUACCAUUGUUUUAGAACAGAGAUUCCGCACCAGGGGCCCACGAGCCUCGUUUUCUGUGAGGCACUGAUGGUAACCUGGUGGGAAGUGCAACCUCAGCCGGCAGAGGACAGGUGACUGUUGGGUGCUUGAAGGCCAGCUUCUGGGCCAAGCACAUGAAUGGAGCAGUCUGGCUGUCCUCUCGCUCACUCUUUCUGUCUUUCUCUCUCCAUCUCUUGGCUUCCUCUCUGACCCUUCACAUCACACUGCAGCGACUUGUCAAUUUUUAAGGAGUGGAAAGUAAACUGACCCUUUGGGGAUAGACAUCAGGUUCUUAUUCUGUCAUGCCUUUUUAGCCCAAACACCCAAAUUUAGUAAAAACACAAAAAAUUCUAGGGCAAGACUUUAAACUUCUACAAGAGAUUAAACUUCACCUCUGUGGCAUUUUUCCAAGGGUCAUAUCCAGGGUCACAAAAUCCCAGAGACCCAUUGUAACCACAACCCAUUCUGGCUUAGGGUUUAGGGAAAGGCAGGUCCAAGUUCAGAGCUUUCGUUUAUUCAUUCAUUCAACAAGGUUGCUGAGCACCUGCCAGGGACCCGGUGCUCUCCUGGACUCUGGGAUUCCAGGUCCUUACUCUUGUGGAAUCUCCAUUCUCACGGCAGCGACAGACACUAACCCGUGAAUGAACAGGGUAGUUUCAGCCCUGGACAAUAAAAUGGGCGUGUGUUGGAGGCAUGAGGGUGGGGAGGACAGUGUCAGAUGGGGUGGUUGGGGAAGGCUGCUCCGAGGCGGCGACAUCUGAGCUCAGACCUGUGUGGCCAGAAGGAGCCUGGAAAGAUGCCUGGGCCGAGCCUUCCAGCCCAUCAGAACAGCAGAUGCAGAGGCACCGAGGUGGGAACCGCUUGAGCUGUUCAGAGAACAGAAGGAGGGCUGGUGAUGGAGGAGGAGAGCGAGGACGUGAGCCUGGAGAGGGCUGCGGGGACCAGACCCCGCUCGCAGGGCCCGCCAGGCCCCAGGAAGGAACUGGAUUAUAUCUAAAGGACACCGGAGCGCCAUGAUCUGAUUUAGGGUUAGAAGACCUCUCGGGCUACUAUGUUGAAAACAGACCAUAAGGGAAUAGAAACGGGAGCCCAGAGGCCGCUGAGGAGGGUCAGGUGGCCUCAGGGGAGUAAUGACAGCAGACAGGGACAGAGUGAGGAGGAGAGAUGCCCCAGCUAGGCGGCUUUUCACCACCUGUAAUUGCCUCUCUCCAGCAAACCACGUUUCUUCCACAUUAGCAUCACUGGAAAGCAACAGAACCCUGACUUCUGGGGGUCUCCCUGCUGGUGGCGGAAACAAAGCCCCAUUGCGUGAGUGCACCAGACACACGAGGGGGCGCAUCCUGAAGGAGGCUCAGGGGAAUGUGGGCUUCGUUUCCUUCCGUUUCCUCAUCAUCUCUAGCUCACAAUCUCAAGGAAGAGAUACACUCACUCAUUUGUUUACACAUUGUCUUGUUCCAAAACAAUAGAAUCUCUAAGUAAAUUAUAGAGAGGAAACCACAGGGAGUGAAGGUGUG
Molecule: long non-coding RNA, 3239 nt
Organism: Equus caballus (horse)
Lineage: Eukaryota; Metazoa; Chordata; Mammalia; Perissodactyla; Equidae
Source: Ensembl